GGGGGUGCACUGGUUUCGACGGGGGUCACGUCUAUAGGGGCAGCCAUCCGUAGUACGCCGGAGUCUACGUUAAAAGCUGGCAUUAAAAUUAAACGCUGAAGAUAAUUUAGCAAUCGCUGCCUAGUUUGCAGCAGUCCGCCUAGGCCCUCCGCAGCCUAGAUCCGGGCUUCGACUUGCGGACCCUUCACCUGCCAAAGCUUUGCGGCAACGUGAAUACUAUGAAGCUACUGAAACCAAGAGCCAGCCUUUAGGAGCUUGGUAGAGGGAAUGUCAAAGAUAAGGCUAUGAUGGUAGAGACCACAAUAUCCGGGCUUUCGGACAGGGGUUCGAUUCCCCUCACCUCCAUUG
This 348-nucleotide transfer-messenger RNA is filed under the name Lachnospiraceae bacterium. It matches the Rfam family "transfer-messenger RNA". From Rfam's summary of the family: Bacterial tmRNA, also known as 10Sa RNA or SsrA, is named for its dual tRNA and mRNA-like properties. Its role is to liberate the mRNA from a stalled ribosome. To accomplish this part of the tmRNA is used as a reading frame that ends in a translation stop signal. The record is from RNAcentral. RNAcentral also lists the same sequence under 1 other name. Lineage: Bacteria; Bacillati; Bacillota; Clostridia; Lachnospirales; Lachnospiraceae.